CGAGGUGUAGCGCAGCUGGUAGCGCGCCUGCUUUGGGAGCAGGAUGUCGCAAGUUCGAGUCUUGUCACCUCGACCA
RNAcentral lists this transfer RNA (76 nucleotides) under Oscillospiraceae bacterium. RNAcentral's name for it is "tRNA-Pro". It matches the Rfam family "tRNA". Rfam says of the family: Transfer RNA (tRNA) molecules are approximately 80 nucleotides in length. The record is from RNAcentral. Lineage: Bacteria; Bacillati; Bacillota; Clostridia; Eubacteriales; Oscillospiraceae.